Molecule: ribosomal RNA, 253 nt
Filed under: uncultured bacterium
Lineage: Bacteria
Description: partial 16S ribosomal RNA
Rfam family: Bacterial small subunit ribosomal RNA
Source: RNAcentral
UACGUAGGUGGCAAGCGUUGUCCGGAUUUACUGGGCGUAAAGAGCGCGCAGGCGGUCGUUCAAGUCGCGUGUGAAAGCCCCCGGCUCAACUGGGGAGGGUCACGCGAUACUGAUCGACUCGAAGGCAGGAGAGGGUAGUGGAAUUCCCGGUGUAGUGGUGAAAUUCGUAGAUAUUCGGAGGAACACCAGUGGCGAAGGCGGCUCACUGGUCCAUUACUGACGCUGAGGUGCGAAAGCGUGGGGAGCAAACAGG